AUGCGCUACUCGAACACUGUGGUUCUUCCGCUCCGUCCAUACCUAGCUGGCGACUGCUCGUGACGCUUUAUAGGCC
RNAcentral lists this small RNA (76 nucleotides) under Xanthomonas bromi. RNAcentral describes it as "sX9 sRNA". It matches the Rfam family "Xanthomonas sRNA sX9". The record is from RNAcentral. Lineage: Bacteria; Pseudomonadati; Pseudomonadota; Gammaproteobacteria; Lysobacterales; Lysobacteraceae.